UCCUCGUUAGUAUAGUGGUGAGUAUCCCCGCCUGUCACGCGGGAGAUCGGGGUUCGAUUCCCCGACGGGGAG
Ciona savignyi (Pacific transparent sea squirt) is the source of this 72-nucleotide non-coding RNA. Lineage: Eukaryota; Metazoa; Chordata; Ascidiacea; Phlebobranchia; Cionidae. The record is from Rfam.